Molecule: ribosomal RNA, 778 nt
Filed under: Bradyrhizobium sp. TSBF-640
Lineage: Bacteria; Pseudomonadati; Pseudomonadota; Alphaproteobacteria; Hyphomicrobiales; Nitrobacteraceae
Description: bacterial SSU rRNA
Rfam family: Bacterial small subunit ribosomal RNA
Source: RNAcentral
GGGAUUUUUCCGGCCACGCAUAACUGCUACUUCAUGGGGGUACAAUACCUCUCCUCGAGUACGGCCGACUCACGCGGUGUGUAACGUACCGUUUUGGUUCGGAACCGCACAAGGAAACUUGUGCUAGUGCCGGAUCCAGCCCUUCCAGGGAAUGAUUUUUCGCCGAAAGAUCGGUGCCGAGUCUGAUUAGAUCUGUGGCGAGGUUAUGACUCACCCUGGCGAUUAUCACUUCCUGGCCUGAUAGGAUGAUCAUUCACAUUGGGACUGAGACACGGCCCAAACUCCUACGGGAGGUUGACGUGGUCAAUAUUGUACUAUGGGGGCAACCCUGAUCCACUCCUGCCACGGGAGUGAUGAAUGCCCUAGGCUUGUGAAGCUCUUUUGUCCCGUAUGAUAAUGUCGGCCCCGCUCGAAUAAGCCCCGGCUAACUUCGUGCCUGCAGCCGCUGUAUUACGAGUGCGGCUAGAGUUGCUCGUAAUCACUGACCCGUAAAGGGCGUGUACGCGGCUUUUUAAGUCCUGCGCGAUAUCCUGAAUCUCAACUCCUGAUCUGCCUUUUAUACUGAACAUCUUGAAUUCCUUAGAGGUGAAUGCAACUGCCAGUGUUCACCUGACAUUAUGAUAUAUUCGCAAGAACACCCGCGACGAAGGCGGCUCACUGGCCGGUGACUGACGCUGAUGCACGAAAGCACGACCAGCAUAUCGGAUUAUAUACGCUCCCAAUCCUCUCCGUACACAAUGAAUGCCACCCGCUAGUGAGUUACUCCUAACGGGCAUCU